GAACAGCCGCCCCGGCAGGAAGUAGCCGGCGUCCAGCACGAUGGGCGGCAGCAGGAACAGGAAGAAGGCGUCGCCGCUCAGGGUGGGCGGGGGCCUGUGGCGGACUCCGUAGAUUGCUCCGCCCACCAUCAGGCCUACCACGAUGAGCAGGCAGCUCUCGGGCAUGACAGAGGGGAGACGACCUGAGCAGUGGAACCCUGGGAAAAAAGUUUCCCUGAGGAGAAGACGUCGGAGAUCGCUUGGACGCAGCUCGGGGAAUAUCACCGGCAGGAGUUGCAGCUGGAUGACGGCAGGUUCCAGAGAUUUUUCCGGCUGGACAGUGUUACAAGAACAAGCUACAAGCCCCAGUGAUAAGAGUGAAACAGAUGAAGUCAUGAUGUCAUCAUGAAGCCAGGCUGAUGGGGGCCUACAAAUCCACAAGUGGGGGAUGGCAACAAACAGCACAGAAGGCACCAUACUCAAAAACAACUGUCAUGGUGUGGAUGAUUUAAAGUUGUACUCCACCUCAGCAAAAGAGGAUGUGCACUAUUACACUGGACUUUUAUAAAAAAAAGUGUUGUGGUGUUAUGGUAGAAGUGUUAUGGUGUCCUCUGGGACCCUAAACAUUUUAGUAAAAUCGUUAGUUGAUCCCCUGGUGCCCUAGUACCAUGAACAAUAAUCUUGUGACAGGCUUGUUGUGGGAAUCGCAAUUAAGGUGUUCAAGAACGCCAAGGGGGAGGGGGAACUUCUCCCCACUCAUUCACUAGUUACAUUGAUAUCAGAGUAAGCCCUUUGUCCAUUGAUGUCCUUUUGAUUGAUGUAUUUCUUUCAGGAUUGUUUAAUGUCUAUGUGAAGCCAUUUAUCAUCACCUGCAAGUGGUUGUUAUCACUUUGAACCCAUGACUGCCUUUUAUUGGUGAGCUGACUUUGAGAAAUCAAACUUGCCAGCAAACGUGUUUCCUGGUUGCUAUGAUUGUCUAGUUGCUAAGUUAGCUAACAAACCUUUUAAAUAACCUUAAAUGGUUUAAAUGCAAGAGUUCUAUUUGCAUGUAAUGAUACCUCGAUUUAACUCAGAUAAUUAUAAUAGGAAAAGGUAGAAACCCGCAGCCUGUGCAGCUUCAUAUUAAUGAGUGCAUAUUCACACAAAUUAACAUGAGUUCAUCACACACUAGCAGCUGCCAACUCUUAACUUGAUUCCCUAAGCUAAAUAUAGCAAGGAUAGUUUAAAAGCUACAAUAGGUAAAAACCCUUUGGUUUCUACACCUGUUACUUGAUCAUUAUGGAAGACUAAAUGUGACUGAGUGUGAACAAAAAUGUGUUAUCUAUCUGAUGUUGUUUUUACCUGAUACAUUAAUAGGAUUCGUAUGUGAAAGAGGGAGGGAGAGAGAUAGACCCAUUCAUGGUUUGCCUGGCAUAUUUAGCAAAAUCAAUGUUUAAACAGUCGGAAAAUUACGGUAUGUUGAAAUUGAGCAUCAGACAUUUAACUUCACAUUUACACAAUACAAUUAUGGUUAGAAAUAUUUGAAAAAUUACCUGGGUAUUUCUAGAAGACUUUUUGGAAGUGAUUCUGAAGUUCUGGAAUUCUCCAAUGUCUGUAUAAUUAAUUCCAAGAUGAGUCUGUAUAUCUACACCCAACCACCAAUACAGCCCAAAACAUCAGAACUAGCUUCACAUCAGAAGUGUGCAAUGGGAGAAAUAUGAACUAUUACCGCAACACAGACUGCCCACUGUUUUUUGUAGAGGUCACAGUUCAAAUCCAUCCCAUAUGGCCGCCGCUCUCGGAACACUAGACAACACUACGGCUCUAGGGGCUCUCAUUUAUGACCCAUGAUUAUGAUGCUUAAAAUCAGUUGAUUGACUUCCUUAAAUGUAAAUAGAAUGAAGAAAAGACAUCUAAAUAAAAAUAUUAAUAUUU
Molecule: long non-coding RNA, 1893 nt
Organism: Clupea harengus (Atlantic herring)
Lineage: Eukaryota; Metazoa; Chordata; Actinopteri; Clupeiformes; Clupeidae
Source: RefSeq, a predicted model, not a curated record